Molecule: ribosomal RNA, 132 nt
Filed under: uncultured bacterium yo2
Lineage: Bacteria
Also listed under: 1 other name
Description: partial 23S ribosomal RNA
Rfam family: Bacterial large subunit ribosomal RNA
Source: RNAcentral
AGAUCAAACGCAAUAAGGCACACGGUGGAUGCCUUGGCACCAAGAGGCGAUGAAGGGCGCGAUAAGCUGCGAUAAGCUUGGGGGAGUCGCACAUAGGCCGUGAUCCCAAGAUGCCCGAAUGGGGAAACCCGG